Molecule: transfer RNA, 74 nt
Filed under: Thermoclostridium stercorarium subsp. stercorarium DSM 8532
Lineage: Bacteria; Bacillati; Bacillota; Clostridia; Eubacteriales; Oscillospiraceae
Description: [Clostridium] stercorarium subsp. stercorarium DSM 8532 tRNA
Rfam family: tRNA
About the family: Transfer RNA (tRNA) molecules are approximately 80 nucleotides in length. Their secondary structure includes four short double-helical elements and three loops (D, anti-codon, and T loops). Further hydrogen bonds mediate the characteristic L-shaped molecular structure. tRNAs have two regions of fundamental functional importance: the anti-codon, which is responsible for specific mRNA codon recognition, and the 3' end, to which the tRNAs corresponding amino acid is attached (by aminoacyl-tRNA synthetases). tRNAs cope with the degeneracy of the genetic code in two manners: having more than one tRNA (with a specific anti-codon) for a particular amino acid; and 'wobble' base-pairing, i.e. permitting non-standard base-pairing at the 3rd anti-codon position.
Source: Rfam by way of RNAcentral
CGGGGUGUAGCUCAGGUGGUAUGAGUGCUUGCUUGGGGUGCAAGAGGUCGCUGGUUCGAGUCCAGUCACUCCGA